GUCCCUCCGUUUUAGCUGCCGCCGCGGCGGCCGCCGAGCGCGCUCUUUCCGCCCCCUUCUCGCGCGUGAGCGCGCCCUAUCGGCUCCUGGCGCGUCAACAUUCCGCGGGCCAGGCCUUGGGGCGCGUCUGAGGAGGGGGAUGUCUGUGGCCUCUCCGCCCACACUUCCUCCACCCACCGCCCACAGCGCCCCAGAAGGACCUAUUACUCGUUUGGCUUCUGAAGGCCGAAGCCAGGCUCUGGCGGGGAUAGAACCCUGAAGGGCCUGCGCCAGCUCCAACUUAGGGCCCUGUGCGUCGUUGCGACUUCUGCUACCACCCUAUCACGCGGCACCCCCGCCCCAACUCCGCCCGGGUCUCUGAAGAGGCAAUAGGCCUUUCAUCUCCGGGGAAAGUCUCACCUUGGCCCUCAGACACCCGCCAAGAGGGGUCGGAAGGACAGAAUUAGCAUAGAGAAGAGUGGCUAGAGCACUUUUCAGGCUCUGGCCCCAGGAAUCCUUGACAGGAAGCGUGGGGUUGCUGCCCAGCCUCCCACGCAGUGUAAUAUGUUGAAGCCGGGCCCCUUUGAGGGAAUGCGACUUCCUUGGGCCGAGGGGGAAAGGGCAGUGCCUGAUGGCUGAGAAGAAUCGCAGAGGACUAGAAAAGGUUUGAGUCUGAAAUUAUCUGGCACAGAGGAUUAAAGCUCAGAAAUAAGUGAUUGCGAAACAGUUCAACUUCCCUGUUAAUGACAACAACAACAGCAACACGCUUAUUAAUUCCUAGCUGGAGCAUCAAGCUUAUGAAGAUUUCCAAGACUUUAUUGUUGACCCUUGUUGAAGAGAACUCUACUUGGCUUCUUUCCUGGCUUUCCUAAAUUGUUCACAUACAAGAUAAACUACCGUCAUUCAGACUUACAGAAGUGAGAAGACAAGCUGAACCAAAUGUAAAAUGGUAGCAAUUUACAGAUGUCAGAACUAACAUGUGGAUGAACUUAGAGAUGGAGAAGAAAGCUGGGCUUUUCCAAAGAGUGGAUCUAUCUGAACUGGAUAGCACUAUUGAACUUUGUUGCAUAUUUUGUGGUAGCUCUAAAACUCCUCUGCUUGCUUACAUACAACCAGACACCAGUGCCUUCUGAAGCUAAUCCAGGCCAUUUUUAUAACCUAAUGCAGUAGCACUUUGCAAUUAGAUGAAGAAGAUCGGUGGGAUUUCUUUCUGUGGUGAUUAAAAUGUGUCAGGGGAAGAAAUCAAGACAAUACUCCAAGUGAAAAAUAUAAAGUCAGUUAUUUCUUUAAUAUUUUG
RNAcentral lists this long non-coding RNA (1276 nucleotides) under Homo sapiens (human). RNAcentral's name for it is "non-protein coding MALINC1:70". The record is from RNAcentral. Lineage: Eukaryota; Metazoa; Chordata; Mammalia; Primates; Hominidae.